This 1195-nucleotide ribosomal RNA is filed under the name Escherichia coli. Its description in RNAcentral is "partial 23S ribosomal RNA". It matches the Rfam family "Bacterial large subunit ribosomal RNA", at positions 1 to 1238 of the family's 2925-position model. Lineage: Bacteria; Pseudomonadati; Pseudomonadota; Gammaproteobacteria; Enterobacterales; Enterobacteriaceae. The record is from RNAcentral.
GGUUAAGCGACUAAGCGUACACGGUGGAUGCCCUGGCAGUCAGAGGCGAUGAAGGACGUGCUAAUCUGCGAUAAGCGUCGGUGAGGUGAUAUGAACCGUUAUAACCGGCGAUUUCCGAAUGGGGAAACCCAGUGUGAUUCGUCACACUAUCAUUAACUGAAUCCAUAGGUUAAUGAGGCGAACCGGGGGAACUGAAACAUCUAAGUACCCCGAGGAAAAGAAAUCAACCGAGAUUCCCCCAGUAGCGGCGAGCGAACGGGGAGGAGCCCAGAGCCUGAAUCAGUGUGUGUGUUAGUGGAAGCGUCUGGAAAGGCGCGCGAUACAGGGUGACAGCCCCGUACACAAAAAUGCACAUAUUGUGAGCUCGAUGAGUAGGGCGGGACACGUGGUAUCCUGUCUGAAUAUGGGGGGACCAUCCUCCAAGGCUAAAUACUCCUGACUGACCGAUAGUGAACCAGUACCGUGAGGGAAAGGCGAAAAGAACCCCGGCGAGGGGAGUGAAAAAGAACCUGAAACCGUGUACGUACAAGCAGUGGGAGCCUCUUCAUGGGGUGACUGCGUACCUUUUGUAUAAUGGGUCAGCGACUUAUAUUCUGUAGCAAGGUUAACCGAAUAGGGGAGCCGAAGGGAAACCGAGUCUUAACUGGGCGUUAAGUUGCAGGGUAUAGACCCGAAACCCGGUGAUCUAGCCAUGGGCAGGUUGAAGGUUGGGUAACACUAACUGGAGGACCGAACCGACUAAUGUUGAAAAAUUAGCGGAUGACUUGUGGCUGGGGGUGAAAGGCCAAUCAAACCGGGAGAUAGCUGGUUCUCCCCGAAAGCUAUUUAGGUAGCGCCUCGUGAAUUCAUCUCCGGGGGUAGAGCACUGUUUCGGCAAGGGGGUCAUCCCGACUUACCAACCCGAUGCAAACUGCGAAUACCGGAGAAUGUUAUCACGGGAGACACACGGCGGGUGCUAACGUCCGUCGUGAAGAGGGAAACAACCCAGACCGCCAGCUAAGGUCCCAAAGUCAUGGUUAAGUGGGAAACGAUGUGGGAAGGCCCAGACAGCCAGGAUGUUGGCUUAGAAGCAGCCAUCAUUUAAAGAAAGCGUAAUAGCUCACUGGUCGAGUCGGCCUGCGCGGAAGAUGUAACGGGGCUAAACCAUGCACCGAAGCUGCGGCAGCGACACUAUGUGUUGUUGGGUAGGGGAGCG